GAAUAGCUAACCACUCCACUUAAAAGAAAUAAAUUUCUAUUUAUAUUAAGUUCAGCAGUAAGUAAAACUAAUCCACAGUAAUAGAAAUCAAAUCACUGGCAACUUGAGGUGACAGAGGAGGGGAUUGAUUGAAAAGAGGCACAGGGAAAUUUGAGGAUUAAAAUGGUUGGGUAUAUGUCAAAAUUCACUGAACAGUACACUUAAAAUGUGUGGGUAUUUACUGUAUAUAAAUUAUACCUC
This 240-nucleotide long non-coding RNA is filed under the name Homo sapiens (human). Its description in RNAcentral is "non-protein coding lnc-MAB21L2-3:1". Lineage: Eukaryota; Metazoa; Chordata; Mammalia; Primates; Hominidae. The record is from RNAcentral.